CCCGCUGAACUUAAGCAUAUCAAUAAGCGGAGGAAAAGAAACCAACAGGGAUUGCCCCAGUAACGGCGAGUGAAGCGGCAACAGCUCAAAUUUGAAAUCUGGUCCCCAGGGCCCGAGUUGUAAUUUGUAGAGGAUGCUUUUGGCAAGGUGCCUUCCGAGUUCCCUGGAACGGGACGCCAUAGAGGGUGAGAGCCCCGUCUGGUCGGACACCGAGCCUCUGUAAAGCUCCUUCGACGAGUCGAGUAGUUUGGGAAUGCUGCUCAAAAUGGGAGGUAUAUGUCUUCUAAAGCUAAAUAUAGGCCAGAGACCGAUAGCGCACAAGUAGAGUGAUCGAAAGAUGAAAAGCACUUUGAAAAGAGGGUUAAAAAGUACGUGAAAUUGUUGAAAGGGAAGCGCCUAUGACCAGACUUGAGCCCGGUGAAUCAUCCAGCGUUCUCGCUGGUGCACUUUGCCGGGCACAGGCCAGCAUCAGUUUGGCGCGGGGGAUAAAGGCUUUGGGAAUGUGGCUCCCUCGGGAGUGUUAUAGCCCAUUGCGCAAUACCCUGCGCCGGACUGAGGUACGCGCAUUCGCAAGGAUGCUGGCGUAAUGGUCAUCAGCGACCCGUCUUGAAACACGG
This 617-nucleotide ribosomal RNA is filed under the name uncultured fungus. RNAcentral's name for it is "eukaryotic LSU rRNA". It matches the Rfam family "Eukaryotic large subunit ribosomal RNA", at positions 24 to 664 of the family's 3401-position model. Lineage: Eukaryota; Fungi. The record is from RNAcentral.